GACGGAGGGGGCUAGCGUUGUUCGGAAUUACUGGGCGUAAAGAGUGCGUAGGUGGUUUAGUAAGUUGGACGUGAAAGCCCGGGGCUUAACCUCGGAAUAGCUUUCAAAACUACUAAUCUAGAGUGUAGUAGGGGAUGAUGGAAUUCCUAGUGUAGAGGUGAAAUUCUUAGAUAUUAGGAGGAACACCGGUGGCGAAGGCGGUCAUCUGGGCUACAACUGACACUGAUGCACGAAAGCGUGGGGAGCAAACAGG
This 253-nucleotide ribosomal RNA is filed under the name uncultured bacterium. Its description in RNAcentral is "partial 16S ribosomal RNA". It matches the Rfam family "Bacterial small subunit ribosomal RNA", at positions 524 to 776 of the family's 1533-position model. The record is from RNAcentral.